RNAcentral lists this ribosomal RNA (254 nucleotides) under uncultured bacterium. Its description in RNAcentral is "partial 16S ribosomal RNA". It matches the Rfam family "Archaeal small subunit ribosomal RNA", at positions 474 to 727 of the family's 1478-position model. The record is from RNAcentral.
UACCAGCACCCCGAGUGGUCGGGACGUUUAUUGGGCCUAAAGCAUCCGUAGCCGGUUCUACAAGUCUUCCGUUAAAUCCACUCGCUUAACAGAUGGGCUGCGGAAGAUACUAUGGAGCUAGGAGGCGGGAGAGGCAAGCGGUACUCAGUGGGUAGGGGUAAAAUCCUCGUGAUCCAUUGAAGACCACCAGUGGCGAAGGCGGCUUGCCAGAACGCGCUCGACGGUGAGGGAUGAAAGCUGGGGGAGCAAACAGG